AGUGAACGCUGGCGGUAGGCCUAACACAUGCAAGUCGAACGGCAGCACAGUAAGAGCUUGCUCUUACGGGUGGCGAGUGGCGGACGGGUGAGGAAUACAUCGGAAUCUACUUUUUCGUGGGGGAUAACGUAGGGAAACUUACGCUAAUACCGCAUACGACCUACGGGUGAAAUCAGGGGAUCUUCGGACCUUGCGCGAUUGAAUUAGCCGAUGUCGGAUUAGCUAGUUGGCGGGGUAAAGGCCCACCAAGGCGACGAUCCGUAGCUGGUCUGAGAGGAUGAUCAGCCACACUGGAACUGAGACACGGUCCAGACUCCUACGGGAGGCAGCAGUAGGGAAUAUUGGACAAUGGGCGCAAGCCUGAUCCAGCCAUACCGCGUGGGUGAAGAAGGCCUUCGGGUUGUAAAGCCCUUUUGUUGGGAAAGAAAAGCAGCAGGUUAAUACCCCGCUGUUCUGACGGUACCCAAAGAAUAAGCACCGGCUAACUUCGUG
Molecule: ribosomal RNA, 492 nt
Filed under: uncultured bacterium
Lineage: Bacteria
Description: partial 16S ribosomal RNA
Rfam family: Bacterial small subunit ribosomal RNA
Source: RNAcentral